AACGAACGCUGGCGGCAUGCCUAACACAUGCAAGUCGAACGAAGGCUUAGGCCUUAGUGGCGCACGGGUGCGUAACGCGUGGGAAUCUGCCCCUCGGUUCGGAAUAACAGUUAGAAAUGACUGCUAAUACCGGAUGAUGACUUCGGUCCAAAGAUUUAUCGCCGAGGGAUGAGCCCGCGUAAGAUUAGGUAGUUGGUGGGGUAAAGGCCUACCAAGCCGACGAUCUUUAGCUGGUCUGAGAGGAUGAUCAGCCACACUGGGACUGAGACACGGCCCAGACUCCUACGGGAGGCAGCAGUGGGGAAUAUUGGACAAUGGGCGAAAGCCUGAUCCAGCAAUGCCGCGUGAGUGAUGAAGGCCUUAGGGUUGUAAAGCUCUUUUACCAGGGAUGGUAAUGACAGUACCUGGAGAAUAAGCUCCGGCUAACUCCGUGCCAGCCGCCGCCGUAA
Molecule: ribosomal RNA, 449 nt
Filed under: uncultured bacterium
Lineage: Bacteria
Description: partial 16S ribosomal RNA
Rfam family: Bacterial small subunit ribosomal RNA
Source: RNAcentral